Molecule: unclassified non-coding RNA, 255 nt
Filed under: Zea mays
Lineage: Eukaryota; Viridiplantae; Streptophyta; Magnoliopsida; Poales; Poaceae
Description: misc RNA Zm00001eb337330
Source: RNAcentral
CUGUCCGUCGUGGUGCCCGCCGGCUGUUCGUCAAAAUGCGCAGCCAGCCGCGCGCUGCCGGCUCGCUGUUUCGUGGAGCCCUGUGGACAGCACGCCGUCGACGCCCACCGUGUGUUCGCUGUUUUGCGCAGCCCAUCCGCGACGCCGUCGAAAACCGUGCUAGUGGUCGACGUCGUGCCUUGCCCGUUCGACGAAAUACCGAGCCAUGUGGACAGCCAUGCGUCUAGUCACGACCCGUUCAGGACCGAGAGAUGA